AUUGAACGCUGGCGGCAGGCCUAACACAUGCAAGUCGAGCGAGCGGCGGACGGGUGAGUAAUGUCUGGGAAACUGCCUGAUGGAGGGGGAUAACUACUGUAACCGGUAGCUAAUACCGCAUACCAUCAGAUGUGCCCAGAUGGGUUUAGCUAGUAGGUGGGGUAAUGGCUCAUCUAGGCGACGAUCCCUAGCUGGUCUGAGAGGCUGACCAGCCACACUGGAACUGAGACACGGGCCAGACUCCUACGGGAGGCAGCAGUGGGGAAUAUUGCACAAUGGGCGAAAGCCGGAGGCAGCCAUGCCGCGUGAGUGAAGAAGGCCUUCGGGUUGUAAAGCACUUUCAGCGGGGAAGCGGUACCCGAAGAAGAAGCACCGGCUAACUCCGUGCCAGCAGCCGCGGUAAUAC
This 406-nucleotide ribosomal RNA is filed under the name uncultured bacterium. Its description in RNAcentral is "partial 16S ribosomal RNA". It matches the Rfam family "Bacterial small subunit ribosomal RNA", at positions 30 to 526 of the family's 1533-position model. The record is from RNAcentral.